RNAcentral lists this transfer RNA (71 nucleotides) under Camelus dromedarius (Arabian camel). It matches the Rfam family "tRNA". Rfam says of the family: Transfer RNA (tRNA) molecules are approximately 80 nucleotides in length. Their secondary structure includes four short double-helical elements and three loops (D, anti-codon, and T loops). RNAcentral also lists the same sequence under 1 other name. Lineage: Eukaryota; Metazoa; Chordata; Mammalia; Artiodactyla; Camelidae. The record is from Rfam by way of RNAcentral.
GGGGAUAUAGCUCAGUAGUAGAGUGCAUGCUUAGCAUGCACAAGGUCCUGGGUUCAACCCCAGUAUCUCUA